RNAcentral lists this ribosomal RNA (497 nucleotides) under uncultured bacterium. Its description in RNAcentral is "partial 16S ribosomal RNA". It matches the Rfam family "Bacterial small subunit ribosomal RNA", at positions 28 to 507 of the family's 1533-position model. The record is from RNAcentral.
GAUGAACGCUGGCGGCGUGCCUAAUACAUGCAAGUCGAGCGAACGGACGAGAAGCUUGCUCUUCUGACGUUAGCGGCGGACGGGUGAGUAACACGUGGAUAACCUACCUAUAAGACUGGGAUAACUUCGGGAAACCGGAGCUAAUACCGGAUAAUAUUUUGAACCGCAUGGUUCAAUAGUGAAAGACGGUCUUGCUGUCACUUAUAGAUGGAUCCGCGCUGCAUUAGCUAGUUGGUAAGGUAACGGCUUACCAAGGCAACGAUGCAUAGCCGACCUGAGAGGGUGAUCGGCCACACUGGAACUGAGACACGGUCCAGACUCCUACGGGAGGCAGCAGUAGGGAAUCUUCCGCAAUGGGCGAAAGCCUGACGGAGCAACGCCGCGUGAGUGAUGAAGGUCUUCGGAUCGUAAAACUCUGUUAUUAGGGAAGAACAUAUGUGUAAGUAACUGUGCACAUCUUGACGGUACCUAAUCAGAAAGCCACGGCUAACUACGUG